Molecule: ribosomal RNA, 371 nt
Filed under: uncultured Glomeromycotina
Lineage: Eukaryota; Fungi; Glomeromycota
Description: LSU rRNA
Source: RNAcentral
UUGAAAGGGAAACGAUUGAAGUCAGUCGUACCGGUGGGUAAUCAGCCUUUCGGCGUGAUUAUGUGGAGCGUGAGGAGUUAAACGCCCUCAUGCCUGCAUAUUCGUGUUCUUUGGGUGUACUUACCCGCAUGGUAGGUUAACAUCAAUUUCGAACGUCAUAAAAUGAUUGGAGGAAUGUAGCUUCGAUCUCGUAUUGAAGUGUUAUAGCCUUCGGUAGAUGUGAUGAUUGGGAUUGAGGAUUGCAACGGAUACCCUUCGGGGCUACCUGUCUGAUCUCUGAAAGUUGCUCUGGUGCUGAAAGCUUGCUUAUGGUAUCAAAGUUGACGUUCAACAGGUUAGAACGGGAUAAAUUCGUUAAGGAUGUUGACGUA